RNAcentral lists this ribosomal RNA (683 nucleotides) under Nesterenkonia sp. Its description in RNAcentral is "bacterial SSU rRNA". It matches the Rfam family "Bacterial small subunit ribosomal RNA", at positions 810 to 1490 of the family's 1533-position model. The record is from RNAcentral. Lineage: Bacteria; Bacillati; Actinomycetota; Actinomycetes; Micrococcales; Micrococcaceae.
UGGGAUAGGUGUGGGGGACAUUCCACGUUUUCCGCGCCGUAGCUAACGCAUUAAGUGCCCCGCCUGGGGAGUACGGCCGCAAGGCUAAAACUCAAAGGAAUUGACGGGGGCCCGCACAAGCGGCGGAGCAUGCGGAUUAAUUCGAUGCAACGCGAAGAACCUUACCAAGGCUUGACAUGGACCGGAUCGCUGCAGAGAUGUAGUUUCCCUUCGGGGCUGGUUCACAGGUGGUGCAUGGUUGUCGUCAGCUCGUGUCGUGAGAUGUUGGGUUAAGUCCCGCAACGAGCGCAACCCUUGUCCUAUGUUGCCAGCACGUGAUGGUGGGGACUCAUGGGAGACUGCCGGGGUCAACUCGGAGGAAGGUGGGGAUGACGUCAAAUCAUCAUGCCCCUUAUGUCUUGGGCUUCACGCAUGCUACAAUGGCCGGUACAGUGGGUUGCGAUACUGUGAGGUGGAGCUAAUCCCUAAAAGCCGGUCUCAGUUCGGAUCGAAGUCUGCAACUCGACUUCGUGAAGUUGGAGUCGCUAGUAAUCGCAGAUCAGCAAUGCUGCGGUGAAUACGUUCCCGGGCCUUGUACACACCGCCCGUCAAGUCACGAAAGUCGGUAACACCCGAAGCUCACGGCCCAACCCCUUGUGGGAGGGAGUGGUCGAAGGUGGGACCGGCGAUUGGACUAAGUCGUA